UCAGAGAUGCUCGUUGUAAAUGGAGACUAGAGAGAGAGGGCCCUUUUCGAGAAUCGAGCAAAAUGUAUCGAAUCGAAGUUAGGCGCCCGACAUUGACUCUCGAAUGGCCAACGUGGGGAGUCGACGAUCCUGUCGACGGACAAUGAGAUGAAAAAUAACGUGCUGGACCAGGUCGGGUUAAAGGCUUCGUUGCUUACAUACAAACCGGCCCCCUCCCUCCCUUUUCUAUCCCUCUCCUCCUCCUCUCUGUCUCUCCUUUUCGUUGUCCCUCGUCCCUCCCCGCCCUCGCCCCGGAUUCCGCUAAGUCAAUUCCACGUUGAGGAUACGAGGCAGAGGCGUCAGACGACCUGGGUGGUCCCCGUCCUACGCAAACAGAGUAUACAAGCGGAUACACGCUGGUUGAACAGGUAGUGCGCGCGAAAAUUUACCGACUUUCUGGAUUUUUCGAGCGCGUGAGGGUUGGAACAACGCCCCUUCUCUCUCUCUUUUUCUGUCCCUCAAAAAAAAAAAAUAUCACUGGCGUGGAAAACAAUUCGUGGAAACAACGAAUUUCGUUCGAAUGGAUGAACUUGGGACUUGUUUCGAGAUCUGGUUCUCGAGAGUCGCGAGAUUGUGAGGUUUAUUUUAUGGGGGUGGCUCGUAACGGGUUUACUCAGCGAUAUCGUGGUCGCAGGAAGUCUUUCUGUCAAUUUCAUGUUGCACGACGCGCGCUGGAAUUAAUCCGAAAUGUAUGAUUUGUAGGUAGUAGGUAGCUAUACGGUUGGAAUUGUCAAGUAGAAUGUUCUUUGUCUUUGGACGAAACAUCAAUUCGAGGAAUUCCUUCCAACAACAAGUCGUUUAUCUUAAUCCCAACAUGUCUCAAUAUCGUUACGAAACAACUAUUAGAAGCGUGAUAUCGCCGAAUCGAAUAAGAAUAAACGAAGAAACGAUCCGCAAAACUUCUCGCGGGUAUCAUGUCUCGGGACCACCAUCGAGCUCACCCGCGACGAGCACGUGAACCCAUACAUAAGCGUGCAACCGUCGUAUCUUCGACACGGCCCAACACUUAUAAAAGCAGGUAAUGCUAAUUCAAACAAAGUUAUCGUCCCAUAGAUAUAUAUAUACAUAUAUAUAUAUAUACAUUUAAUUCUUUUCUCAUUUACAUACGGGCGCGAUGGCGGCGCGCCACCUUCACAAUGACCCAUUGUCGAGGGGUCCUCUACUUGAAUGGGGGGACCAUCCAAGUCGCCAGGUCUUUCCAGUCGGUGAUAAUUCUCUUGGGUGAAAUUAGAAACGCCCUUUAACUUUCUUGGGCUACCAAGAUGUUUCGUACGUCUUUCUUUCCGGAUAUUUUGGAAAUCGGCGAAGAAUGCCGUCGUCCAGCUGCGUGAACGAUUUCGAGUUUAGCGCGAAACUUUUCCCUCCCAGUUUCUGGAAACUCUCUUCGGAGAGGAUCGUUCCUCGGAUUCUCGAUUUGACACGAGUUGAAAUAAAUAGAAGGAUCGUUCCGGGGAAAAGUCGAAUAUCGAAUUUGCGAUGGGUUCUGUGAAAGAAUUUUAUAUAACUUCACGUACGUGAAGAGAAAGAGAAACGAGUAUAGAAAAUUUUAUGAUCGUACACGAUGGAACGAAACGGCGUGAAGUUUGGAUUAUCUGCUGUACCCUCGUCAAAGUGGACUUCAAGAUUCAAUCCGAUAAGAGUUUCCAUGCUACGAUAAGUAUCUUGUGAAUACAAGGUUUACACCUCUGAAGGAGCAGUGAAGUAUACUUACACGAAGACCGCCUUGAACGAAACGCAACAAAUCGCCCGUAGUUGGAUUUACGACUUCGAUCCGUAUUAUUCGGGUUAACCACGGAGAUGUAUCGCGACGUGCCCUUGGUCGGUUCCUGGCCCUGACCAUAUCGCUUUUCGUCAUGGCCCGAGGUGUGUCUACGGACCACCGACGUCGUCGCAAUUAGUAAUUAUUUCAUAUCUAUUUCCAUGAUAAAAGAUGGAAUAAUUCGCGCGAUAUAUCGAUGAAGUAAAAUUUAUAUUACGUGCGUAAAACCACAAUGUAAUAAAUACCGAUCGCGGAAGCGGAAGAAUCGAAGAAGAAAUAGACAAAGUAAUAAUGUUUGAUUUUUAUGGUGUAAUUUUCAAUUGCAAAAAAGAAAAAAAAACAGAGUUACGUCAAUUCAAUAUAUCUGAUUUUACGUUCCACGCCGUUGCAGAAAUAUUCAGUUUUUAUUAAAGGAUUUUUCUAUAAAUGUUUUACGAUAUGGAAGGAUUACUAUCUUUGGAGGAUUAUUAAUCGUAUAAAAAAAUAAACUUGUCACUUGUUUCUCCUCUCGAACAAAGAGCCGUCUUGUUGAACGGCCAAGAAAGAAAUAAGCAUUCACGUUCCACACUUCGCUCCAAAAAAAAAAAAGGAAAAAAAAUUAUCUCUUCAAAUAAAAGAGACAGUUCAA
Molecule: long non-coding RNA, 2426 nt
Filed under: Apis mellifera (honey bee)
Lineage: Eukaryota; Metazoa; Arthropoda; Insecta; Hymenoptera; Apidae
Description: uncharacterized LOC102656275
Source: RNAcentral